UGCUUUGGCCUCAGCCUGCAAGCUAGUAGCAACAUCAAAGCAACCAGCGAAAGCGAAGAUGAACUUCCCUGAGCCAUCCCUAAGAAUCCCCCCACCACCACUCAACCCCGGGUUUCCUUUGGAGCACCCAUCUAUGUUAAGUUUAAACAUUGACAGCCGUGGAGCCUGCCAAUGAACCAGACGAAACUUAACCACAUCAGGGCGUUGCUCCACCAAACCCAAGAAUUGGGGCCAAGAUGUGACCUGUUGUAAUUCCCCAAAUUUCAUCCAGUAUGCGUCUUUCAAGUUUUGAAAAAUAGAUCGAUAAAUAGAUCGGACAUCCUUGAUAACCCCUUCAAACACUGUUGAAUUCCUUGUCUUCCACAAAUUCCAACACACAAAUACGGGUAGGAGCCGAAAAACAAAUUUUAGCCUCUUGGACUUAGUAGGCUUGUACCACCAAUUCGCCAACUGUACGGUUAAAUGCUC
RNAcentral lists this long non-coding RNA (468 nucleotides) under Coffea arabica (coffee). RNAcentral describes it as "long non-coding RNA (CARA_LNC006847)". The record is from RNAcentral. Lineage: Eukaryota; Viridiplantae; Streptophyta; Magnoliopsida; Gentianales; Rubiaceae.